Molecule: ribosomal RNA, 442 nt
Filed under: uncultured bacterium
Lineage: Bacteria
Description: partial 16S ribosomal RNA
Rfam family: Bacterial small subunit ribosomal RNA
Source: RNAcentral
CCUACGGGUGGCAGCAGUGGGGAAUAUUGGGCAAUGGGCGCAAGCCUGACCCAGCAACGCCGCGUGAAGGAAGAAGGCUUUCGGGUUGUAAACUUCUUUUGUCAGGGAAGAGUAGAAGACGGUACCUGACGAAUAAGCCACGGCUAACUACGUGCCAGCAGCCGCGGUAAUACGGAGGUGGCAACCGUUGUCCGGAUUUACUGGGUGUAAAGGGCGUGUAGCCGGGUUGACAAGUCCGAUGUGAAAUCCUGCGGCUUAACCGCAGAACUGCAUUUGAUACUGUUGAUCUUGAGUACUGGAGAGGCAGACGGAAUUCCUAGUGUAGCGGUGAAAUGCGUAGAUAUUAGGAGGAACACCAGUGGCGAAGGCGGUCUGCUGGACCGCAACUGACGGUGAGGGGCGAAAGCGUGGGGAGCAAACAGGAUUAGAUACCCCUGUAGUC